UACGGGGGGGGCAAGCGUUGUUCGGAAUUACUGGGCGUAAAGGGCUCGUAGGCGGCCAACUAAGUCAGACGUGAAAUCCCCAGGCUCAACCUGGGAACUGCGUCUGAUACUGGAUGGCUUGAGGUUGGGAGAGGGAUGCGGAAUUCCAGGUGUAGCGGUGAAAUGCGUAGAUAUCUGGAGGAACACCGGUGGCGAAGGCGGCAUCCUGGACCAAUUCUGACGCUGAGGAGCGAAAGCCAGGGGAGCAAACGGG
RNAcentral lists this ribosomal RNA (253 nucleotides) under uncultured bacterium. RNAcentral's name for it is "partial 16S ribosomal RNA". It matches the Rfam family "Bacterial small subunit ribosomal RNA", at positions 524 to 776 of the family's 1533-position model. The record is from RNAcentral.